RNA transcript from Prosopis cineraria, 2853 nucleotides. It is a transcript of the gene named sucrose transport protein SUC4-like, with no coding region annotated. The transcript has 6 exons. NCBI's taxonomy places the organism in Eukaryota, Viridiplantae, Streptophyta, Magnoliopsida, Fabales, Fabaceae. The record is from RefSeq and is a predicted model, not a curated record.
UGUGCUCGCGCUGAGGGGCAAGCCUGUCAUUUCUCAUUACCAGUUUCCCAGCAGGACUCGCACUUGCCAAUUCUGGGACUUUGGUCGAUCGCGUUAGGAGCCUCUAAAAAAGGCGAGGGAAAAUAAUAACCAACAAAACAGCAUGAGAUUUUGGUCAUUUUACCGCAUUCACGCGAUUUUGCCCCUUGUGGCCGAAUCUUUUUCCCAUCAAUUCAAAACAGUGAUGUCUUAAUUCUUCUGUUUGAAUCAGUUCGACGAUGGAUCAGUAAAUACGUGCCGGGACGAGGUUUGGUUUCGAUACGUACAACGCUCUUCCCUGGUCGACAGGCACCCUUGGCUUAUUCAUCUUCUCCUGUUCCAUGGUCUGAUAUUCCGAUCAGCGAGGCUCUGUGAAGCGGCCGCUUCUCUUUCCCUCUCUCCCUGUCAUUUCGUACCGCCUCGAGGAAUUGAUCUCGAGCAACGGGACACUGGAUAGCAGGAAGGGAGGUGGGCUGAGUUACAGUGCCAGACUGUGUGAUGCCGAAUCCCCAAUCUCAACGUCAACGGUCCAGAGCUCCACCAUCAUCGGCGCGGCCUCCAGCUCGAUCUAGAGUUCCGCUCAGGCAAUUAUUUCGGGUGGCAUCAGUGGCUGGAGGCAUUCAGUUUGGAUGGGCCUUGCAGCUCUCUCUCCUGACGCCGUAUGUGCAGCAGCUUGGAAUUCCUCACGCGUGGGCUAGCAUAAUUUGGUUAUGUGGUCCUCUUUCUGGUCUCUUUGUUCAACCCUUGGUGGGGCACAUGAGUGACAAGUGCGCCUGCACGUUCGGCCGCCGGAGACCCUUUAUCCUAGUCGGAGCAGUGUCCAUCAUUAUUGCCGUUCUGGUCAUUGGUCACUCUGCUGACAUUGGUUGGUGGCUCGGUGAUACGGAGAAUUCUCGGCCGAGAGCAAUAACGGUAUUUGUAAUCGGGUUUUGGAUCUUGGACAUGGCCAACAACAUGACUCAAGGUCCUUGUAGAGCUUUGCUUGCCGAUCUUACUGGCAAGGAUCAUCGAAGGACACGAGUGGCAAAUGCCUAUUUCUCUCUGUUUAUGGCUAUUGGUAACAUUCUUGGCUAUGCAACUGGGUCGUUCAGUGGUUGGUACAGGGUUUUCUCUUUCACUGUUACCCCUGCAUGUAAAAUUAGCUGUGCGAAUCUCAAGUCUGCUUUCUUUCUCGAUGUUGUUUUCAUUUUGAUAACCACAUAUAUCAGUGUUGCAGCAGCUCGGGAAGUACCUCUUGGUUUGAGUGGGGCAGCCCAUACUGAAGAAGGGGCAGGAGAGUCGGGUAGUGCAGAAGAAGCUUUCCUGUGGGAGCUACUUGGGACAUUUAAAUAUUUUUCAGCUCCUAUAUGGAUAAUACUGUCUGUUACUGCACUGACUUGGAUUGGAUGGUUUCCAUUUAUUCUGUUCGAUACUGAUUGGAUGGGUCGGGAGAUUUAUGGUGGUGAUCCAAAUCAAGGCCUUACUUAUGAUGCAGGAGUUAGAAUGGGGGCACUUGGUUUAUUGCUGAACUCAGUUGUUCUUGCAAUAACAUCAUUACUCAUGGAAUGGCUAAGCAGGAAACGGGGAGCUGGCUUUUUGUGGGGAAUCUCAAACAUUGUAAUGGCUGUCUGCUUUAUUGCAAUUCUUGUAGUAACCUAUGUCGCAAAUAGUAUUGGCUAUCUUGGCAAAGAUCAACCACCAAUUGGCAUUUUGAUAGCAGCAGUAAUAAUUUUUACCAUUCUUGGGUUCCCAUUGGCGAUUACUUACAGUGUACCAUAUGCCUUAAUCUCAGCACAUAUUGAGUCUUUGGGACUUGGCCAAGGGUUGUCAAUGGGUGUUCUAAAUCUGGCAAUUGUGAUCCCUCAGAUAGUGGUGUCUCUGGGAAGUGGACCAUGGGAUCAGCUAUUUGGUGGUGGAAACUCCCCAGCAUUUGCUGUCGCAGCUAUUGCAGCCCUUAUCAGUGGACUCAUAGCUGUCUUGGCUAUUCCUCGAUCUGGCUCUGGUUCUCAAAAGGCAAGAACCCACGUUUGAGGUAUCGUGUUCUUUCUGAUUAUGGCACUGGUUUCUUUUGAGUUUUGAAGGGGGAUGGCGAUAAAUAAAGAGUCUUGUAGGUUUCUGAGGCAUUUUAUUUUUUGGGAACCUGCUCCCUUGUUGGAGAUCCUGAUGAAUUUAACAGUCUAUGUAGAACAGUCAGAAUGUUUGUGGUAUGUAAACCAUGACGGAUCCUCUGUUUAGUGCAAGAAAGGUGAAUGCUCUUCCAUCUUCAUGUCCAAGGAUCAAGAUAAAUGUCAUGUAGCUCUACUCUUUUAGAUAUCCUAGCCGGCAUGCAACACUAAAAGUUGUCACAAAAUACUGCACAAGAGAUUAUCUGCAAUGAGUGAAGAAUUUCUUAAUUGCAAAUCAGUCCCACCUGUGUAAGAUGUUGCUUUCAUGGCCUAAAUGCCGCGGCAAAUUAGCUGGAGUUGGAGCAUCUUCAGAAGGCGGUAAAGCUACUGUCAGGCAGCAUACUUUCCAACCGAGAUGAUUUACUGUUGAUUUGGAAUUAUUCCGCAUGAAGUGUUCAUUGUGCGAAGGUGAUUCAAUCAAUGAUGUAUUGGAAUCUUAUGCAUAGCAUACGUGUGAUUUUUUUGUCUGUGUGAAGAAUGUGCUUAGUGGCCAGCAGUGAAUAUGUGAAUUGUGCUGAUUGAAACCGUGAUGGAGACUUUGCUUCAAUGCUCCAAUUUUUGUCACUUGCAAAAGAGAAAUUCUUGGAUGACGGGUUUUAUUAAUAAUUGUCAAUAAAUACUUGUAUUUCCCAUACUUUGUGAGGUGUCAACCCUUCAAUGAGAAUUACAGUCAAUAUAAGCUACCAGAUUA